Long non-coding RNA from Drosophila guanche, 768 nucleotides. RefSeq lists it as uncharacterized. The transcript has 2 exons. NCBI's taxonomy places the organism in Eukaryota, Metazoa, Arthropoda, Insecta, Diptera, Drosophilidae. The record is from RefSeq and is a predicted model, not a curated record.
AAUACGAAUGUGGGUCAAAUGGUUCAUAAAGAGGAGUAGGCCUUCCAUUAAAUGAAAUUGUAAACAUAUUUAUUUGCCGCUUGACUCAUCCCUAGGAAAAUCUGUAAUAUUGAUGAUGUUUUGGUGUUGAUUUUGCUACGAAUAUGAUGGCGUCAUCAAUAACAAUCAAUUGCCUGUGACAAAUUGAGCCUGACUUUGAAGUUUUCUUCGCUGCCAACAAUCCAACUUCGUUCCAGUCCCUAUUCUCAGUCCCCCCAGAUGUGUGGAGUGUAUGAUGUCAUGGGAAGUUCGCUCUGAGCGACUUUAUCUCUACUCCAACACCGCUCACCCUUUUUUAUUGCCCGUCUGCUGCUGCUGCUGUCCGACUGCUUUAUUAUUGUUUUCUGUAGAUAUUUUAGCGCAAACAUUUGGCAAAGCCGAUACACGUACGAUGGAAAUCUAAAAAACUCUGGAGCUACAGACACAGCGCCAGCAGCUGCUUGGAGCCACAAAAUUUCGCGCUAAUUCAAUUGACAGCACAAAAGCACGAAAAAAAGAAAAGAAACUAAGAAGGAAAUACUCGCGUAGAAAUGAAUUGUGGCGUGGAUGGAGAUUGAGAGAUACAGUGGAAACCCAAAAAGCAGGAAUGUCGCAAAAGUUUGGGUUUUCCUCUGCAGAGAAUUUCGAAUUUCUCUUUUGGCAGCUUUCACUGUUCCAACGGGAAAACACAACCACAGGAAGAGGUGCGGCAGUCGCCUCGUUAAAUUAAUUAAAUCUAUUUACUUAAAA